Molecule: ribosomal RNA, 497 nt
Filed under: uncultured bacterium
Lineage: Bacteria
Description: partial 16S ribosomal RNA
Rfam family: Bacterial small subunit ribosomal RNA
Source: RNAcentral
GAUGAACGCUGGCGGCGUGCCUAAUACAUGCAUGUCGAGCGAACAGACGAGGAGCUAGCUCCUCUGACGUUAGCGGCGGACGGGUGAGUAACACGUGGAUAACCUACCUAUAAGACUGGGAUAACUUCGGGAAACCGGAGCUAAUACCGGAUAAUAUAUUGAACCGCAUGGUUCAAUAGUGAAAGACGGUUUUGCUGUCACUUAUAGAUGGAUCCGCGCCGCAUUAGCUAGUUGGUAAGGUAACGGCUUACCAAGGCGACGAUGCGUAGCCGACCUGAGAGGGUGAUCGGCCACACUGGAACUGAGACACGGUCCAGACUCCUACGGGAGGCAGCAGUAGGGAAUCUUCCGCAAUGGGCGAAAGCCUGACGGAGCAACGCCGCGUGAGUGAUGAAGGUCUUCGGAUCGUAAAACUCUGUUAUUAGGGAAGAACAAAUGUGUAAGUAACUAUGCACGUCUUGACGGUACCUAAUCAGAAAGCCACGGCUAACUACGUG